This 58-nucleotide transfer RNA is filed under the name Strongyloides vituli. Its description in RNAcentral is "tRNA-His". The record is from RNAcentral. Lineage: Eukaryota; Metazoa; Nematoda; Chromadorea; Rhabditida; Strongyloididae.
AGCUCUUUAGUAUAAUUUUUAGUAUGUCUGUUUGUGGCACAGGAGGUAUUUGGAGCUU